AGAGUUUGAUCCUGGCUCAGGAUGAACGCUGGCGGCGUGCUUAACACAUGCAAGUCGAACGGUGAAGCCAAGCUUGCUUGGUGGAUCAGUGGCGAACGGGUGAGUAACACGUGAGCAACCUGCCCUGGACUCUGGGAUAAGCGCUGGAAACGGCGUCUAAUACUGGAUAUGAGCUCUCAUCGCAUGGUGGGGGUUGGAAAGAUUUUUUGGUCUGGGAUGGGCUCGCGGCCUAUCAGCUUGUUGGUGAGGUAAUGGCUCACCAAGGCGUCGACGGGUAGCCGGCCUGAGAGGGUGACCGGCCACACUGGGACUGAGACACGGCCCAGACUCCUACGGGAGGCAGCAGUGGGGAAUAUUGCACAAUGGGCGGAAGCCUGAUGCAGCAACGCCGCGUGAGGGAUGACGGCCUUCGGGUUGUAAACCUCUUUUAGCAGGGAAGAAGCGAGAGUGACGGUACCUGCAGAAAAAGCGCCGGCUAACUACGUGCCAGCAGCCGCGGUAAUACGUAGGGCGCAAGCGUUAUCCGGAAUUAUUGGGCGUAAAGAGCUCGUAGGCGGUUUGUCGCGUCUGCUGUGAAAUCCCGAGGCUCAACCUCGGGCCUGCAGUGGGUACGGGCAGACUAGAGUGCGGUAGGGGAGAUUGGAAUUCCUGGUGUAGCGGUGGAAUGCGCAGAUAUCAGGAGGAACACCGAUGGCGAAGGCAGAUCUCUGGGCCGUAACUGACGCUGAGGAGCGAAAGGGUGGGGAGCAAACAGGCUUAGAUACCCUGGUAGUCCACCCCGUAAACGUUGGGAACUAGUUGUGGGGACCAUUCCACGGUUUCCGUGACGCAGCUAACGCAUUAAGUUCCCCGCCUGGGGAGUACGGCCGCAAGGCUAAAACUCAAAGGAAUUGACGGGGACCCGCACAAGCGGCGGAGCAUGCGGAUUAAUUCGAUGCAACGCGAAGAACCUUACCAAGGCUUGACAUACACCAGAACACCGUAGAAAUACGGGACUCUUUGGACACUGGUGAACAGGUGGUGCAUGGUUGUCGUCAGCUCGUGUCGUGAGAUGUUGGGUUAAGUCCCGCAACGAGCGCAACCCUCGUUCUAUGUUGCCAGCACGUAAUGGUGGGAACUCAUGGGAUACUGCCGGGGUCAACUCGGAGGAAGGUGGGGAUGACGUCAAAUCAUCAUGCCCCUUAUGUCUUGGGCUUCACGCAUGCUACAAUGGCCGGUACAAAGGGCUGCAAUACCGUGAGGUGGAGCGAAUCCCAAAAAGCCGGUCCCAGUUCGGAUUGAGGUCUGCAACUCGACCUCAUGAAGUCGGAGUCGCUAGUAAUCGCAGAUCAGCAACGCUGCGGUGAAUACGUUCCCGGGUCUUGUACACACCGCCCGUCAAGUCAUGAAAGUCGGUAACACCUGAAGCCGGUGGCCUAACCCUUGUGGAGGGAGCCGUCGAAGGUGGGAUCGGUAAUUAGGACUAAGUCGUAACAAGGUAACCGUA
Molecule: ribosomal RNA, 1486 nt
Filed under: Microbacterium trichothecenolyticum
Lineage: Bacteria; Bacillati; Actinomycetota; Actinomycetes; Micrococcales; Microbacteriaceae
Description: bacterial SSU rRNA
Rfam family: Bacterial small subunit ribosomal RNA
Source: RNAcentral